Molecule: ribosomal RNA, 465 nt
Filed under: uncultured bacterium
Lineage: Bacteria
Description: partial 16S ribosomal RNA
Rfam family: Bacterial small subunit ribosomal RNA
Source: RNAcentral
GACGAACGCUGGCGGCGUGCUUAACACAUGCAAGUCGAACGGAAAGGCCCCUUUGGGGGUCCUCGAGUGGCGAACGGGUGCGUAACACGUGAGUAACCUGCCCUUGACUUCGGGAUAACUUCAGGAAACUGGGGCUAAUACCGGAUAGGAAUCCUUGCUGCAUGGUGGGGGUUGGAAAGCUUCGGCGGUUUUGGAUGGACUCGCGGCUUAUCAGCUUGUUGGUGGGGUAGUGGCUUACCAAGGCUUUGACGGGUAGCCGGCCUGAGAGGGCGACCGGCCACAUUGGGACUGAGAUACGGCCCAGACUCCUACGGGAGGCAGCAGUGGGGAAUAUUGCACAAUGGGCGGAAGCCUGAUGCAGCAACGCCGCGGGCGGGAUGACGGCCUUCGGGUUGUAAACCGCUUUCAGCAGGGGCGAAGCUUGUGGUGACGGUACCUGCAGAAGAAGCACCGGCUAACUACGUG